UGGCCCCGCCCCGUCGUCUUCCUCCUAUCGUUCUCUCUCGCUCUCCUCGGCGCGGCCCGUUGUUAUGACGACACGGUCGUAAAUCCGCCAUCUUCCUGCGGCGCGUUGCGACAUGGAGGGCGCGAUGGCAGUGCAGGUGACGGCCGCGCAUACGGCAGAAGCCCGGGCCGAAGCUGGGCGGGAAGCAGGCGAGGGCGGGGUCGCGGCGGCGGCGGCGGCGGCGGCGUCCUUGGCCCCCGGCGGCUUCCUCGGUCUCCCAGCGCCCUUUAGCGAGGAAGAUGAGGACGACGUGCACAGAUGUGGCCGCUGCCAGGCGGAGUUCACUGCCUUGGAGGACUUCGUCCAGCACAAGCUCCAGAAGAUCUGCCAGCGGGCCCCGCAGGAGGCCCUGCCCGCCACCCCUGCCGCCACUGCACUGCUGGGCCAGGAGGUGGUGCCAGCGGCAGGCCCAGAAGAGCCCAUCACUGUGGCCCACAUUGUGGUGGAGGCGGCCGCUCUAACAGCAGACAUCAGCCACGCGCCCGACAUCGUCAGCAGUGGACACAUCAAAGAGGUCAUCGUGGCCGCUGAGGCGGAGCCGGGGGACAGUGAGAUGGCAGAGGCCCCAGGCAGCCCCAGCCAUCAGGGGCCUGGGCUCACUGGGGAAGGCGAGCAGGCCCAGGUCAAGCUGCUGGUGAACAAGGACGGCCGCUAUGUGUGCAUGCUCUGCCACAAGACCUUCAAGACGGGCAGCAUCCUCAAGGCCCACAUGGUCACCCACAGCAGCCGCAAGGACCACGAGUGCAAGCUGUGUGGGGCCUCCUUCCGGACUAAGGGCUCACUCAUCCGGCACCACCGGCGGCACACAGAUGAGCGCCCCUAUAAGUGUGCCAAGUGUGGGAAGAGCUUCCGGGAGUCGGGUGCACUGACCCGACACCUCAAGUCUCUCACCCCGUGCACAGAAAAAAUCCGCUUCAGCAUGAGCAAGGACAUGGUUAUUGGCAAAGAGGAGACACCUGCAGGGUCUGGUGCCUCCACUGUGGGGACCAUUACAUCAUCAUCAGUGACAGGUGAGCCCAUGGAGACGUCGCCUGUGAUUCACCUGGUGACAGAUGCCAAGGGCACAGUCAUCCAUGAAGUCCAUGUCCAGAUGCAAGAGCUUCCCCUGGGCAUGAAAGCCCUGGCCCCAGAGCCCCCGGGCCCUGAGGAGCUUCCUUGUUCCAGCGAGGGCAGCCGUGAGAACCUGCUACACCAGGCCAUGCAGAACUCUGGCAUCGUCCUUGAGCGGGUUGCUGGGGAGGAGGGGGCCCUGGAGCCAGCCCCUCCUGCUGCAUCCAGUCCCCAGCCCCUGGGAGGCGGUCCCUCAGAACUGCCACUGCUGGAGGUGGAGCAGGUGGACACACAGGUGGCCAGUGAGGCCUCAGCUGUGCCCAGGACCCACCCGUGCCCUCAGUGCAGUGAGACCUUCCCAACGGCGGCCACCCUGGAGGCCCAUAAAAGGGGCCACGCAGGGCCAAGGCCGUUCACGUGCGUGCAGUGUGGCAAGGCCUUCCCCAAGGCCUACCUGCUCAAGAAGCAUCAGGAGGUGCACGUGCACGAGCGCCGCUUCCGCUGCGGGGACUGCGGGAAGCUCUACAAGACCAUUGCCCACGUCCGUGGCCACCGACGUGUCCACUCAGAUGAGCGGCCCUAUCCCUGUCCCGAGUGUGGCAAGCGCUACAAGACCAAGAAUGCCCAGCAGGUGCACUUCCGGACACACCUGGAGGAGAAGCCACAUGUGUGCCCGUUUUGCAGCCGAGGCUUCCGGGAGAAGGGCUCGCUGGUGCGUCAUGUGCGGCACCACACGGGCGAGAAGCCCUUCAAGUGCUACAAGUGUGGCCGUGGCUUUGCCGAGCACGGCACGCUCAACCGGCACCUGCGCACUAAAGGGGGCUGCCUGCUGGAGGUGGAGGAGUUGCUGGUGUCCCAGGAGAGCCCUGCAGCAGCUGCCACUGUCCUCACUGAGGACCCGCAUACUGUGUUGGUUGAGUUCUCGUCAGUGGUGGCUGACACCCAGGAGUACAUCAUUGAGGCCACCGCGGACGAUGCGGAGACCAGUGAAGCCACAGAGAUCAUCGAGGGCACCCAGACGGAGGUGGACAGCCACAUCAUGAAGGUGGUGCAGCAGAUCGUGCACCAGGCCAGCGCUGGGCACCAGAUCAUCGUGCAGAAUGUGACCAUGGACCAGGAGGCGGGGCUGGGCCCGGAGGCAGCUGCUGCCGACACCAUCACCAUUGCCACCCCUGAGAGCCUAACAGAGCAGGUGGCCAUGACACUGGCCUCGGCCAUCAGCGAGGGCACUGUGCUCACAGCCCGGGCAGGCACAAAUGGCGCAGAGCAGGCCACUGUGACCAUGGUUUCGUCAGAGGACAUUGAGAUUCUGGAGCACGCUGGCGAGCUGGUCAUCGCCUCGCCAGAGGGCCAGCUGGAGGUGCAGACGGUCAUCGUCUAGCCUGGAUGCCUGCAGAGUCCCGGUGGGCUGGUCUGGCGCAGGGGGCAAGGACCCUGAGCACCCUGCCAGUGCCUGCCUGGCCUGCGCAGAGAAGAUGGGGCACAGAAUUCAGGUGCUCAGAGGAGAUAUGGGAGUGUAAAUUUACAGAGUUUUUUGUUGCUUUACAAUAAAACAUGAAAACCCGCCGCUUGUGAUGUUGCGGCAGUGGCAGCCUGGAGGGCUGGCACCACUACCCUGGCAGGUCCCUCCACAGCAGCACCUGCCUGCCCAGGCCACCCUCUAGACUCUUGUGCCUGGCUACCCCGCCCAGGGCUCCUGGUGGGGCUGGCGGCACAUUGGCGGCGCGUGGGUGUCCCUGGCAUGUGGACAGACAGCUUCCUGCUGUUGCCCUGCCCACCUGGAGCUGUGGCCCCAACUUCCCGAGGCCUCCUGAGGUGGAUGGAAGUGGGUGCUGCCUCACCGCCUCCAACCCUGGGGCUGUCCUGGGGCAGGGGACCAAGAUCAGGAGACCCAGCAGCCUCAGCUUUUUACCCUGAGAGCUGCUGCUUGACCAAGCCGGCGUCUGUCCGAUGCCACGCACACACCCCCAGCUUGGACCUCAGACCUCCACUCCGACCCAG
Molecule: RNA transcript, 3090 nt
Organism: Equus quagga
Lineage: Eukaryota; Metazoa; Chordata; Mammalia; Perissodactyla; Equidae
Gene: E4F1
Gene name: E4F transcription factor 1
Exons: 15
Source: RefSeq, a predicted model, not a curated record